UGUUUGAUGUUCUAACGUGGACCCGUGAUCCGGGUUGCGGACAGUGUCUGGUGGGUAGUUUGACUGGGGCGGUCUCCUCCUAAAGAGUAACGGAGGAGCACGAAGGUUGGCUAAUCCUGGUCGGACAUCAGGAGGUUAGUGCAAUGGCAUAAGCCAGCUUGACUGCGAGCGUGACGGCGCGAGCAGGUGCGAAAGCAGGUCAUAGUGAUCCGGUGGUUCUGAAUGGAAGGGCCAUCGCUCAACGGAUAAAAGGUACUCCGGGGAUAACAGGCUGAUACCGCCCAAGAGUUCAUAUCGACGGCGGUGUUUGGCACCUCGAUGUCGGCUCAUCACAUCCUGGGGCUGAAGUAGGUCCCAAGGGUAUGGCUGUUCGCCAUUUAAAGUGGUACGCGAGCUGGGUUUAGAACGUCGUGAGACAGUUCGGUCCCUAUCUGCCGUGGGCGCUGGAGAACUGAGGGGGGCUGCUCCUAGUACGAGAGGACCGGAGUGGACGCAUCACUGGUGUUCGGGUUGUCAUGCCAAUGGCACUGCCCGGUAGCUAAAUGCGGAAGAGAUAAGUGCUGAAAGCAUCUAAGCACGAAACUUGCCCCGAGAU
RNAcentral lists this ribosomal RNA (595 nucleotides) under Salmonella enterica. RNAcentral's name for it is "partial 23S ribosomal RNA". It matches the Rfam family "Bacterial large subunit ribosomal RNA", at positions 2211 to 2805 of the family's 2925-position model. The record is from RNAcentral. Lineage: Bacteria; Pseudomonadati; Pseudomonadota; Gammaproteobacteria; Enterobacterales; Enterobacteriaceae. RNAcentral also lists the same sequence under 1 other name.